AAAAACUCCGGUGGUAUACGAUGGAUCCGCGUCUGAUUAGCUUGUUGGCGGGGUAAAGGCCCACCAAGGCGACGAUCAGUAGCCGGCCUGAGAGGGUGAACGGCCACAUUGGGACUGAGACACGGCCCAAACUCCUACGGGAGGCAGCAGUGGGGAAUAUUGCACAAUGGGGGAAACCCUGAUGCAGCGACGCCGCGUGAGUGAAGAAGUAUUUCGGUAUGUAAAGCUCUAUCAGCAGGGAAGAAAAUGACGGUACCUGACUAAGAAGCCCCGGCUAACUACGUGCCAGCAGCCGCGGUAAUACGUAGGGGGCAAGCGUUAUCCGGAUUUACUGGGUGUAAAGGGAGCGUAGACGGCAGCGCAAGUCUGGAGUGAAAUCCCAUGGCUUAACCAUGGAACUGCUUUGGAAACUGUGCAGCUAGAGUGCAGGAGAGGUAAGCGGAAUUCCUAGUGUAGCGGUGAAAUGCGUAGAUAUUAGGAGGAACACCAGUGGCGAAGGCGGCUUACUGGACUGUAACUGACGUUGAGGCUCGAAAGCGUGGGGAGCAAACAGGAUUAGAUACCCUGGUAGUCCACGCUGUAAACGAUGAUUACUAGGUGU
This 601-nucleotide ribosomal RNA is filed under the name uncultured bacterium. RNAcentral describes it as "bacterial SSU rRNA". It matches the Rfam family "Bacterial small subunit ribosomal RNA", at positions 202 to 823 of the family's 1533-position model. The record is from RNAcentral.